RNAcentral lists this ribosomal RNA (508 nucleotides) under uncultured bacterium. RNAcentral describes it as "partial 16S ribosomal RNA". It matches the Rfam family "Bacterial small subunit ribosomal RNA", at positions 29 to 523 of the family's 1533-position model. The record is from RNAcentral.
AUUGAACGCUGGCGGCAUGCCUUACACAUGCAAGUCGAACGGCAGCGGGGGAGAAGCUUGCUUUUCCUGCCGGCGAGUGGCGAACGGGUGAGUAAUACAUCGGAACGUGCCCUGUAGUGGGGGAUAACUAGUCGAAAGAUUAGCUAAUACCGCAUACGACCUGAGGGUGAAAGUGGGGGACCGCAAGGCCUCAUGCUAUAGGAGCGGCCGAUGCCUGAUUAGCUAGUUGGUGGGGUAAAGGCCUACCAAGGCGACGAUCAGUAGCUGGUCUGGGAGGACGGUCAGCCACCCUGGGGCUGAGACACGGCCCAAGCUCCUAAGGGGAGCAGCAGUGGGGAAUUUUGGGCAAUGGGCGGAAGGCUGAUCCAGCAAUGGCGCGUGUGUGAAGAAGGCCUUCGGGUUGUAAGGCACUUUUGGCCGGAAAGAAAUGGCUCUGGUUAAUACCUGGGGUCGAUGACGGUACCGGAAGAAUAAGGACCGGCUAACUACGUGCCAGCCGCCGCCGUAA